Molecule: ribosomal RNA, 1029 nt
Organism: Trametes cinnabarina
Lineage: Eukaryota; Fungi; Basidiomycota; Agaricomycetes; Polyporales; Polyporaceae
Rfam family: Eukaryotic small subunit ribosomal RNA
Source: Rfam
UCAUAAUUGGAAUGAGUACAAGUUUAGUAUCUCUUAACGAGGAACAAUUGGAGGGCAAGUCUGGUGCCAGCAGCCGCGGUAAUUCCAGCUCCAAUAGCGUAUAUUAAAGUUGUUGCAGUUAAAAAGCUCGUAGUUGAACUUCAGACCUGGCCGGGCGGUCCGCCUUACGGUGUGUACUGUCUGGCUGGGUCUUACCUCUUGGUGAGCCGGCAUGCCCUUUACUGGGUGUGCCGGGGAACCAGGACCUUUACCUUGAGAAAAUUAGAGUGUUCAAAGCAGGCAUAUGCCCGAAUACAUUAGCAUGGAAUAAUAAAAUAGGACGUGCGGUUCUAUUUUGUUGGUUUCUAGAGUCGCCGUAAUGAUUAAUAGGGAUAGUUGGGGGCAUUAGUAUUCAGUUGCUAGAGGUGAAAUUCUUGGAUUUACUGAAGACUAACUACUGCGAAAGCAUUUGCCAAGGAUGUUUUCAUUAAUCAAGAACGAAGGUUAGGGGAUCGAAAACGAUCAGAUACCGUUGUAGUCUUAACAGUAAACUAUGCCGACUAGGGAUCGGGCGAUCUCAAUCUUAUGUGUCACUCGGCGACCUUACGAGAAAUCAAAGGUCUUUGGGGUUCUGGGGGGGAGUAUGGUCGGCAAGGCUGAAACUUAAAGGAAUUGACGGAAGGGCACCACCAGGAGUGGAGCCUGCGGCUUAAUUUGACUCAACACGGGGAAACUCACCAGGUCCAGACAUGACUAGGAUUGACAGAUUGAUAGCUCUUUCAUGAUUUUAUGGGGUGGUGGUGCAUGGCCGUUCUUAGUUGGUGGAGUGAUUUGUCUGGUUAAUUCCGAUAACGAACGAGACCUUAACCUGCUUAAUAGCCAGGCCGGCUUUUGCUGGUCGCCGGCUUCUUAGAGGGACUGUCUGCGUCUAGCAGACGGAAGUUUGAGGCAAUAACAGGUCUGUGAUGCCCUUAGAUGUUCUGGGCCGCACGCGCGCUACACUGACAGAGCCAGCGAGUUUAUAACCUUGGCCGGAAGGUCUGGGUAAUC